GUCCGCGCCGUAAACGAUGAUAGCUGGCCGUGCGGGAGCGAUCCUGCGGGGCUGAGGGAAACCAUUAAGCUAUCCGCCUGGGGAGUACGCCCGCAAGGGUGAAACUCAAAGGAAUUGACGGGGGCCCGCACAAGCGGUGGAACAUGUGGUUUAAUUCGAUGAUACGCGAGGAACCUUACCCGGGCUCGAACGCCGCAGGGAUUAUCCGGAAACGGGUAAGCCAGCAAUGGCCUGCGGCGAGGUGCUGCAUGGCUGUCGU
RNAcentral lists this ribosomal RNA (259 nucleotides) under uncultured bacterium. RNAcentral's name for it is "partial 16S ribosomal RNA". It matches the Rfam family "Bacterial small subunit ribosomal RNA", at positions 793 to 1055 of the family's 1533-position model. The record is from RNAcentral.